RNAcentral lists this ribosomal RNA (740 nucleotides) under Vittaforma corneae. RNAcentral's name for it is "SSU rRNA". It matches the Rfam family "Microsporidia small subunit ribosomal RNA", at positions 387 to 1165 of the family's 1311-position model. Lineage: Eukaryota; Fungi; Microsporidia; Nosematidae. The record is from RNAcentral.
UUGGUGCCAGCAGCCGCGGUAAUACCGACUCCAAGAGUGUGUAUGAGAGAUGCUGCAGUUAAAAAGUCCGUAGUCAUAGAAGGGCAAAGAGAGAUGCGAGGUCUCACAGUGCGAUGAUGGAGGAGCCGAUGGGGAACAUAGUAUACCAGGGCGAGAGAUGAAAUGCCAAGACCCCUGGUGGACUGAGCGAGGCGAAGGCGAUGUUCUUGUAGGCAUUCGGUGAUCAAGGACGAAGGCUGGAGUAUCGAAAGUGAUUAGAUACCGCAGUAGUUCCAGCAGUAAAAGAUGCCGACAUGCUCAUUGGACACAGUGGGCAGGGAGAAAUCUUAGAGUUCGGGCUCUGGGGAUAGUAUGCUCGCAAGGGUGAAAAUUAAAGAAAUUGACGGAGCUACACCACAAGGAGUGGAUUGUGCGGCUUAAUUUGACUCAACGCGAGGAAACUUACCAGGGCCAAGUAUUGUGUAGAAACGAGCAAUACAGGAGUGGUGCAUGGUCGUUGGAAAUUGAUGGGAUGACUUUGACCUUAAAUGGUUGAAUGAGUGAGAUCUUUUGGACAUGUUCCGCACGGAACAGGAAGGAAAAGGCUAUAACAGAUCCGAGAUGCCCUCAGAUGCCCUGGGCUGCACGCGCAAUACAAUAGCAGGUAGAGAGAGAGACAGGAAGGUGCUCAGAUGGACUAUGUGCUGUAAGGCACAUACGAAAGAGGAAUUCCUAGUAAGUGUGUAUCAACAAUGGAUAUU